RNAcentral lists this ribosomal RNA (768 nucleotides) under uncultured Granulicatella sp. RNAcentral's name for it is "bacterial SSU rRNA". It matches the Rfam family "Bacterial small subunit ribosomal RNA", at positions 28 to 776 of the family's 1533-position model. Lineage: Bacteria; Bacillati; Bacillota; Bacilli; Lactobacillales; Carnobacteriaceae. The record is from RNAcentral.
GACGAACGCUGGCGGCGUGCCUAAUACAUGCAAGUCGAACGAGAGCGACCGGUGCUUGCACUGGUCAAUCUAGUGGCGAACGGGUGAGUAACACGUGGGUAACCUGCCCAUCAGAGGGGGAUAACAUCCGGAAACGGAUGCUAAAACCGCAUAGGUCUUCGAACUGCAUGGUUUGAAGAGGAAAAGAGGCGCAAGCUUCUGCUGAUGGAUGGACCCGCGGUGCAUUAGCUAGUUGGUGAGGUAACGGCUCACCAAGGCCGUGAUGCAUAGCCGACCUGAGAGGGUGAUCGGCCACAUUGGGACUGAGACACGGCCCAAACUCCUACGGGAGGCAGCAGUAGGGAAUCUUCCGCAAUGGACGCAAGUCUGACGGAGCAACGCCGCGUGAGUGAAGAAGGUUUUCGGAUCGUAAAACUCUGUUGUUAGAGAAGAACAAGUGCUAGAGUAACUGUUAGCGCCUUGACGGUAUCUAACCAGAAAGCCACGGCUAACUACGUGCCAGCAGCCGCGGUAAUACGUAGGUGGCAAGCGUUGUCCGGAUUUAUUGGGCGUAAAGCGAGCGCAGGCGGUUCCUUAAGUCUGAUGUGAAAGCCCCCGGCUCAACCGGGGAGGGUCAUUGGAAACUGGGGAACUUGAGUGCAGAAGAGGAGAGUGGAAUUCCAUGUGUAGCGGUGAAAUGCGUAGAUAUAUGGAGGAACACCAGUGGCGAAGGCGACUCUCUGGUCUGUAACUGACGCUGAAGGCUCGAAAGCGUGGGUAGCAAACAGG